Long non-coding RNA from Physeter macrocephalus (sperm whale), 622 nucleotides. RefSeq lists it as uncharacterized. The record is from RefSeq and is a predicted model, not a curated record. Lineage: Eukaryota; Metazoa; Chordata; Mammalia; Artiodactyla; Physeteridae. The transcript is spliced from 3 exons.
GCCGGCCCCGCCCCACACAAGCUGCCGCGCGCGGGUGCAGUGGCCCCACCCAAAGGAAGGGGAAGCGGAAAGAGCGCGGUCUGGCGUGGGGUAGGAGCGGGAAGACUGCAGCGUAACUCGGUCCGUUCCUGUCCUAGAAAAGGUGCGGAAGUAAAAGCCUCUGCUGCUUCAGGGCUGGAAGGAUCUUCGGUGCCAGGACGCUGGGUCAGGGGCUCCGGGCGGACAGAGAGCUCAAACCUGGGAGAGGAGCCCACCUUGCCCAGUUAUCAACUGACUAUAAAGAAGCGCAUGGGCUUCCCUGGUGGCGCAGUGGUUGAGAGUCCACCUGCCGAUGCAGGGGACACGGGUUCGUGCCCCGGUCCGGGAAGAUCCCACAUGCCACGGAGCGGCUAGGCCCGUGAGCCAUGGCUGCUGAGCCUGCGCGUCCGGAGCCUGUGCUCCGCAACAGGAGAGGCCACAACAGUGAGAGGCCCGCGUACCGCAAAAAACAACAACAACAACAACAAAAAAAAAACAGUGCAAAAAGUACUUGAGCUUAAAUACCAAGGGAAUGACUUUAAAUCUUGCUGCAUGGAACUGCCACUCACCGCUAGAAAUCGGGGAUCGACAGCGAACUCUGGAU